This 170-nucleotide long non-coding RNA is filed under the name Cavia porcellus (domestic guinea pig). RNAcentral describes it as "lncRNA (ENSCPOG00000036162.1)". Lineage: Eukaryota; Metazoa; Chordata; Mammalia; Rodentia; Caviidae. The record is from RNAcentral.
GUCUUUCCUUUUCCAAGGCGAGGAUGGCGCCACUGACUUCUCAGAGGACACACCCCUGGUGCUGGAAUACUACCCCUCCACUUCGGGCAGCGCACCAUGGACCCUCAGCCAGCCCCUGGGCAUCUCCGUGUUGCCCCUGAAGAACCAACUCUAUCAGAAGAUGCUCAAAG